AGUAAUUAGUUCAAUAAUGGUAGAACAUUUCAUUUACAAUGAAAAGGUUAUUGGUUCGAGUCCAGAUAUUACUUC
Molecule: transfer RNA, 75 nt
Filed under: Pterosiphonia complanata
Lineage: Eukaryota; Rhodophyta; Florideophyceae; Ceramiales; Rhodomelaceae
Description: tRNA-Val
Rfam family: tRNA
About the family: Transfer RNA (tRNA) molecules are approximately 80 nucleotides in length.
Source: RNAcentral